UCUUUAGUAGCUUAUAUAAAGUGUCGGGCUUUUGAUCCGAUGAAGCACUUAAGUGUGCCUAAGGUA
RNAcentral lists this transfer RNA (66 nucleotides) under Raeta pulchella. RNAcentral describes it as "tRNA-Lys". It matches the Rfam family "tRNA". Rfam says of the family: Transfer RNA (tRNA) molecules are approximately 80 nucleotides in length. Their secondary structure includes four short double-helical elements and three loops (D, anti-codon, and T loops). Lineage: Eukaryota; Metazoa; Mollusca; Bivalvia; Venerida; Anatinellidae. The record is from RNAcentral.